RNAcentral lists this ribosomal RNA (651 nucleotides) under Micrococcus sp. FAS36. Its description in RNAcentral is "bacterial SSU rRNA". It matches the Rfam family "Bacterial small subunit ribosomal RNA", at positions 52 to 717 of the family's 1533-position model. The record is from RNAcentral. Lineage: Bacteria; Bacillati; Actinomycetota; Actinomycetes; Micrococcales; Micrococcaceae.
GAGAUGUGGUCGAACGAUGAAGCCCAGCUUGCUGGGUGGAUUAGUGGCGAACGGGUGAGUAACACGUGAGUAACCUGCCCUUAACUCUGGGAUAAGCCUGGGAAACUGGGUCUAAUACCGGAUAGGAGCGUCCACCGCAUGGUGGGUGUUGGAAAGAUUUAUCGGUUUUGGAUGGACUCGCGGCCUAUCAGCUUGUUGGUGAGGUAAUGGCUCACCAAGGCGACGACGGGUAGCCGGCCUGAGAGGGUGACCGGCCACACUGGGACUGAGACACGGCCCAGACUCCUACGGGAGGCAGCAGUGGGGAAUAUUGCACAAUGGGCGCAAGCCUGAUGCAGCGACGCCGCGUGAGGGAUGACGGCCUUCGGGUUGUAAACCUCUUUCAGUAGGGAAGAAGCGAAAGUGACGGUACCUGCAGAAGAAGCACCGGCUAACUACGUGCCAGCAGCCGCGGUAAUACGUAGGGUGCGAGCGUUAUCCGGAAUUAUUGGGCGUAAAGAGCUCGUAGGCGGUUUGUCGCGUCUGUCGUGAAAGUCCGGGGCUUAACCCCGGAUCUGCGGUGGGUACGGGCAGACUACAGUGCAGUAGGGGAGACUGGAAUUCCUGGUGUAGCGGUGGAAUGGCCAGAUAUCAGGAGGAACACCGAUGGCG